Molecule: long non-coding RNA, 1983 nt
Organism: Eriocheir sinensis (Chinese mitten crab)
Lineage: Eukaryota; Metazoa; Arthropoda; Malacostraca; Decapoda; Varunidae
Exons: 2
Source: RefSeq, a predicted model, not a curated record
AGGCUAACCUCGCAGCCGCCACUACCCCAUCGAACAGUUUUAAGUGGAAAUUCUAAGGCAUUGAUCGUCGCCAUUGGUAAUGAUCAAAACAAACAAAACAACUGUGAAAGCAGCCCUAAGUGUUGUUUCUUGUUGCACUGAGGGAAACUUCAAGCCUUUCAUAAUCAUUGAAAACAUGCAACAUACACAAUAUAGUGAGACACGAGUGAAGGAACAAGGCAAAAAUUAUGAUAAAGAAUGAAUGCUUAUACUGAGGAAAACGUCAAGCCUCUUGUAAUCACCUAAACUCCAAGGGCUGAGAUCUUUUGGACAUUCAUGGCCACGUGGACUUUCGUGUCUUGCAUAAGUGGUUUUGUUACGUAUACAAGAUAAUAAGGGGAUCAUUUUGCUUCAACCAUUUAAUGUAGUCUAUUCCAUUGUACAGUUUUGUAGUGACUGUACACUUUAUUGUUCUCAGGCAAAGGGACCAUCAUUCUUCUUGAUUCAGGGAUUGUGAUGAUAUUAUAUAUGUUUCUUUUGCAUGUGAGGGUAAGCAGAAGCACUUAUGAAUGAUUACCACAUGCAACUUCAUUUCUGGGAUUUUAGAAGCAUAGGAAUUUGCAUGUGAGGUUAACACACAUGAAUUAUUAGAACAUGCAACUUUAUUCCUGUGAUUUUAGAGGCAUAGGAAUUCGCAUGUUAGGUUAAUUACACAUGAAUGAUUCGCACAUGCAACUUCAUUCCUGGGGUUUUAGAGGCAUAGGAAUUCACAUCAUGUUAAAGAUACAUGAAUGAUUAGAACAUGCAACUUUAUUCCUGGGAUUUAAGAGGCAUAGGAAUUCGCAUGUUAGGUUAAUUACACAUGAAUGAUUAGCACAUGCAACUUCAUUCCUGGGAUUUUAGAGGCAUAGGAAUUCACGUCAUGUUAAAGAUACAUGAAUGAUUAGAACAUGCAACUUCAUUCCUGGGAUUUUAGAGGCAUAGGAAUUAGCAUGUUAGGUUAAUUGCACAUGAAUGAUUAGCACAUGCAACUUCAUUCCUGGGGUUUUAGAGGCAUAGGAAUUCACAUCAUGUUAAAGAUACAUGAAUGAUUAGAACAUGCAACUUUAUUCCUGGGAUUUAAGAGGCAUAGGAAUUCGCAUGUUAGGUUAAUUACACAUGAAUGAUUCGCACAUGCAACUUCAUUCCUGGGGUUUUAGAGGCAUAGGAAUUCACAUCAUGUUAAAGAUACAUGAAUGAUUAGAACAUGCAACUUCAUUCCUGGGAUUUUAGAGGCAUAGGAAUUCGCAUGUUAGGUUAAUUGCACAUGAAUGAUUAGCACAUGCAACUUCAUUCCUGGGGUUUUAGAGGCAUAGGAAUUCACGUCAUGUUAAAGAUACAUGAAUGAUUAGCACAUGCAACUUCACUCCUGGGAUUUAAGAGGCAUAGGAAUUCGCAUGUUAGGUUAAUUGCACAUGAAUGAUUAGCACAUGCAACUUCAUUCCUGGGAUUUAAGAGGCAUAGGAAUUCACAUGUCAGGUUAACCCGGUAGCAGCGACGAGCCAAAUUUGUGGUAUUACCGAACAACGACGAGCCAAAUUUGUGCCAUGAUAUAAACCCCCCCAAAAUAGAUGAUGCAUAAACUUUAAGAAGCAUAGGCAUGAGAUGUGUUUUUGACGGAAUCUGGUUGUCCUUCCUCGCAUGGUUGCCCAGGUUGCGAACUCUCAGGGUGAACUCUUGAACAUGUGAGUUAGUAAAGACUGUGAUUGCUCAGUUACUGUUUUAUGGGAAGUCCCUCAGACGAUUCUUAUAGUCAUUUUAGUGCAGUAUUUUAGAUGUAUAUUGUGGACCAAAUAGUUAUUGUUGUUACAUGCUGGACUUGUUAAAAAUGUAAGGGAAACCAGAUUAUAAGUUCCUGUUUAAAAUGCUGCCUCUCUUCUGCCACCUUUGUACUUUCUCUUACAAAUAUGAUAAAAGAAUGAAUGGAAAUGUUGUAUGGAAGGAACCAAUACAAAAGGCUGUAGU